This 497-nucleotide ribosomal RNA is filed under the name uncultured bacterium. RNAcentral describes it as "partial 16S ribosomal RNA". It matches the Rfam family "Bacterial small subunit ribosomal RNA", at positions 28 to 507 of the family's 1533-position model. The record is from RNAcentral.
GAUGAACGCUGGCGGCGUGCCUAAUACAUGCAAGUCGAGCGAACAGAUGAGGAGCUUGCUCCUCUGACGUUAGCGGCGGACGGGUGAGUAACACGUGGAUAACCUACCUAUAAGACUGGGAUAACUUCGGGAAACCGGAGCUAAUACCGGAUAAUAUAUUGAACCGCAUGGUUCAAUAGUGAAAGACGGUUUUGCUGUCACUUCUAGAUGGAUCCGCGCCGCAUUAGCUAGUUGGUAAGGUAACGGCUUACCAAGGCAACGAUGCGUAGCCGACCUGAGAGGGUGAUCGGCCACACUGGAACUGAGACACGGUCCAGACUCCUACGGGAGGCAGCAGUAGGGAAUCUUCCGCAAUGGGCGAAAGCCUGGCGGAGCAACGCCGCGUGAGUGAUGAAGGUCUUCGGAUCGUAAAACUCUGUUAUUAGGGAAGAACAAAUGUGUAAGUAACUAUGCACGUCUUGACGGUACCUAAUCAGAAAGCCACGGCUAACUACGUG